ACACCCUUGGUCCCUUCUACCUGCUUCUGUACUGGCUGUUUAAGGCUUAGCUCUCCUGUUAGUUUAGACCUUUCCAGGUUAUGAAGAGGACCUGUUUAGGAGCUCAAAGAAGAAAACAUGAAAAGGGAGAGAGAUGCAGAAAGACAAAAAAGAAUGAGAUGAAAAGGGAGUCUUGAAAAUAUGAUCAGAGGGAGCAUACUAUCCUCUAAGUGGGCUGCAGACUUUUGUCAGGGUCAGGGUAAAGGCAGAGGCCAGACUGCUCUUGGUAGCUGUGGAAGCAGCAUCUGAGAGGGUAAGAGGUGAUGCUGCUGGGAUGAGUCCAUCAAGGAGACGUGAGACCAUGUGAAUGCUCAGGUAUGAGAGCCUGCAUUUAGGAUGGGGCAAUGAACUUGAGCCCUGGACUGAGCGGGAGCUCAGCGGCAGCUUAGGUGAGAAGUGUUUGGAGUUUGCAGUGGACUCAGGCUCGCUCUGUGCGUGGUGCCAGCCACGUACUGGGUGUUCAGUAGCAACCAGAGUAGAAGAAUAAAUGUGUGUAAACCCAGGAAGAGACGUGGCUUAUAAUUUAAAAAGUGGUUAAUUAGGAAU
Molecule: long non-coding RNA, 585 nt
Filed under: Bos taurus (domestic cattle)
Lineage: Eukaryota; Metazoa; Chordata; Mammalia; Artiodactyla; Bovidae
Description: long non-coding RNA NONBTAT018932
Source: RNAcentral